UCUGUAGGCGGUGCGGCAAGUCGGGAGUGAAAUCCCUGGGCUUAACCCAGGGGCUGCUUCCGAAACUGCCGUGCUGGAGUGCGAGAGAGGUGAGUGGAAUUGCAGGUGUAGCGGUGAAAUGCGUAGAUAUCUGCAGGAACACCAGAGGCGAAGGCGGCUCACUGGAUCGCAACUGACGCUGAGAGACGAAAGCUAGGGGAGCAAACAGGAUUAGAUACCCUGGUAGUCCUAGCCCUAAACGAUCAGGACUUGGCGUGGGCCCCGUACGGGGCUCGUGUCGGAGCUAACGUGUUAAGUCCUGCGCCUGGGGAGUACGGUCGCAAGGCUGAA
This 330-nucleotide ribosomal RNA is filed under the name uncultured bacterium. RNAcentral's name for it is "bacterial SSU rRNA". It matches the Rfam family "Bacterial small subunit ribosomal RNA", at positions 568 to 898 of the family's 1533-position model. The record is from RNAcentral.